Molecule: ribosomal RNA, 488 nt
Filed under: uncultured bacterium
Lineage: Bacteria
Description: bacterial SSU rRNA
Rfam family: Bacterial small subunit ribosomal RNA
Source: RNAcentral
AGAGUUUGAGUCCUGGCUCAGGAUAAACGCUGGCGGCGCGCAUAACACAUGCAAGUCGAGCGAGAGGAGUAGCUUCGGUUACAAAGUCUAGCGGCGGACGGGUGAGUAACACGUGGACAACUUGUCUUGUAGAGGGGGAUAGCCGGAAGAAAUUCCGAUUAAUACCGCAUAAUGUGAUAGUGUUGCAUGACAUUAUCAAGAAAGAUGCAAAUCGCUAUAAGAGAGGUCUGCGACUGAUUAGCUAGUUGGAGUGGUAACGGCACACCAAGGCAACGAUCAGUAGCCGGUUUGAGAGAAUGAACGGCCACAUUGGGACUGAGAUACGGCCCAGACUCCUACGGGAGGCAGCAGUGGGGAAUAUUGCGCAAUGGGGAAACCCUGACGCAGCGACGCCGUGUAAGGGAAGAAGGUUUUCGGAUCGUAAACCUAUAUCGAUUGUGAAAAGUAAGGAUGGUAGCAAAGUAAGAAGCCCCGGCUAACUACGUGCC